UGUGUUCGUGGCGCAGGAAUGUCGCAAUGUUGGCCUCGUUGCGAAGGCGGGCCUCUUGCUCGUCGUCCAGGGUUUUGAAGCUCUUGAACACCAC
This 94-nucleotide transfer RNA is filed under the name Planctomycetota bacterium. RNAcentral's name for it is "tRNA-Ala". Lineage: Bacteria; Pseudomonadati; Planctomycetota. The record is from RNAcentral.